This 500-nucleotide ribosomal RNA is filed under the name uncultured bacterium. Its description in RNAcentral is "partial 16S ribosomal RNA". It matches the Rfam family "Bacterial small subunit ribosomal RNA", at positions 30 to 523 of the family's 1533-position model. The record is from RNAcentral.
AUUGAACGCUGGCGGCAUGCCUUACACAUGCAAGUCGAACGGCAGCACGGGAGCAAUCCUGGUGGCGAGUGGCGAACGGGUGAGUAAAGUAUCGGAACGUGCCCAGUCGUGGGGGAUAACGUAGCGAAAGUUACGCUAAUACCGCAUACGAUCUAUGGAUGAAAGCGGGGGAUCGCAAGACCUCGCGCGAUUGGAGCGGCCGAUAUCAGAUUAGGUAGGUGGUGGGGUAAAGGCUCACCAAGCCGACGAUCUGUAGAUGGUCUGAGAGGACGACCAGCCACACUGGGACUGAGACACGGCCCAGACUCCUACGGGAGGCAGCAGUGGGGAAUUUUGGACAAUGGGCGAAAGCCUGAUCCAGCCAUGCCGCGUGCAGGAUGAAGGCCUUCGGGUUGUAAACUGCUUUUGUACGGAACGAAAAGGUUUGGCCUAAUAAGCUGAGCUCAUGACGGUACCGUAAGAAUAAGCACCGGCUAACUACGUGCCAGCAGCCGCCGUAA